RNAcentral lists this transfer RNA (90 nucleotides) under Planktomarina temperata. RNAcentral's name for it is "tRNA-Ser". It matches the Rfam family "tRNA". Rfam says of the family: Transfer RNA (tRNA) molecules are approximately 80 nucleotides in length. Their secondary structure includes four short double-helical elements and three loops (D, anti-codon, and T loops). Further hydrogen bonds mediate the characteristic L-shaped molecular structure. tRNAs have two regions of fundamental functional importance: the anti-codon, which is responsible for specific mRNA codon recognition, and the 3' end, to which the tRNAs corresponding amino acid is attached (by aminoacyl-tRNA synthetases). tRNAs cope with the degeneracy of the genetic code in two manners: having more than one tRNA (with a specific anti-codon) for a particular amino acid; and 'wobble' base-pairing, i.e. permitting non-standard base-pairing at the 3rd anti-codon position. The record is from RNAcentral. RNAcentral also lists the same sequence under 1 other name. Lineage: Bacteria; Pseudomonadati; Pseudomonadota; Alphaproteobacteria; Rhodobacterales; Paracoccaceae.
GGAGAGGUGCCGGAGUGGUCGAACGGGACGGAUUCGAAAUCCGUUGUACCUGCAAGGGUACCCAGGGUUCGAAUCCCUGUCUCUCCGCCA